AAUUCUCAACCAUGCCUUGAUCGAUUUCGAGGCAUGGCUUGGACUUGGGGGUUGCUGGCGGCGAAAGCUGUCGGCUCUCCUGAAAUGCAUUAGCAAUGGUCGGCAAGUCUGACGUGCACGGCCUUGACGUGAUAAUGAUCGUCGUGGCUGGAGCGUCGGACGAGCGCAAAUACGUCCGUUUGCUUCCAAUCCUUGACUUUGGGACGUGUAGACUUUCGAGCGGAAAGCUUUAGCUACUAGUUGGUCGUGAGACUAACGAACGCGGGCCGCCUCCGGAGGUCAAAGGGUUCCCUCGUCUACUUUCACG
Molecule: unclassified non-coding RNA, 307 nt
Filed under: uncultured Xerocomus
Lineage: Eukaryota; Fungi; Basidiomycota; Agaricomycetes; Boletales; Boletaceae
Also listed under: 1 other name
Description: sequence contains ITS2
Source: RNAcentral